AGGGCGCAUGGUGAAUGCCUAGGCACUAGAAGCCGAUGAAGGACGUGACGAACCACGAAAGGCUUCGGGGAGCAGUAAGUAAGCGAUGAUCCGGAGAUAUCCGAAUGGGGGAACCCAAUACCGCGAGGUAUUAUCAAGAGCUGUUAAGGCUGUUGAAGGAAGACGCAGUGAACUGAAACAUCUAAGUAGCUGCAGGAAGAGAAAGAAAAAUCGAUUUCCCAAGUAGCGGCGAGCGAACAGGAAAGAGCCCAAACCAGCUGGCUUGCCAGUUGGGGUAGUAGGACUGCAAUAAAGUACUUGAAGCGAUAGCAGAAUUAUCUGGAAAGAUAAGCCAGAGAGGGUGAGAGCCCCGUAAGCGAAAUUGCAGAGAGACUUAGCAGGAUCCUGAGUAGGUCGGGACACGAGGAAUCCCGAUUGAAACCGCGAGGACCAUCUCGCAAGGCUAAAUACUAACUAGUGACCGAUAGUGAACCAGUACCGUGAGGGAAAGGUGAAAAGAACCCCGGAAGGGGAGUGAAAGAGAACCUGAAACCGUGUGCCUACAAGUAGUCAAAGCACAUUAAAGUGUAAUGGCGUGCCUUUUGUAGAAUGAACCGGCGAGUUACGUUAUGGUGCAAGGUUAAGUCAGAAAAGACGGAGCCGGAGCGAAAGCGAGUCUGAAGAGGGCGAGAGAGUAUCAUGACGUAGACCCGAAACCAAGUGACCUACCCAUGACCAGGUUGAAGGCGUGGUAAAACACGCUGGAGGACCGAACCCACGUGAGUUAAAAAUCGCGGGGAUGAGUUGUGGGUAGCGGUGAAAUUCCAAACGAACUUGGAGAUAGCUGGUUCUCUCCGAAAUAGCUUUAGGGCUAGCCUCGUGUGAAUGAUAAUGGAGGUAGAGCGCUGUUUGGACUAGGGGCCCGUCAGGGGUUACUGAAUCCAGAUAAACUCCGAAUGCCAGAUAUCAAUGCACGGGAGUCAGACUGCGAGUGAUAAGAUCCGUAGUCGAAAGGGAAACAGCCCAGAUCACCAGUUAAGGUCCCCAAAUCUAUGCUAAGUGGAAAAGGAUGUGGAGUUGCGUAGACAACUAGGAUGUUGGCUUAGAAGCAGCCACCAUUUAAAGAGUGCGUAAUAGCUCACUAGUCGAGUGAUCCUGCGCCGAAAAUGUAACGGGGCUAAACACAUUACCGAAAUCGUGGAUGUACCGUAAGGUACAUGGUAGGAGAGCGUUCUAAGGACGGCGAAGCUAGACCGUAAGGACUGGUGGAGUGCUUAGAAGUGAGAAUGCCGGUAUGAGUAGCGAAAGAUCAGUGAGAAUCUGGUCCACCGUAUGACUAAGGUUUCCUGGGGAAGGCUCGUCCUCCCAGGGUUAGUCGGGACCUAAGCCGAGGCCGAGAGGCGUAGGCGAUGGAUAACAGGUUGAGAUUCCUGUACUGGUUAAACUUGUUUGAACAAUGGAGGGACGCAGGAGGCUAUCGAUGCGUACUGUUGGAUAUGUACGUUCAAGCAACAAGUCUGUAGAUGAGUCAAAUGCUUAUCUACUUAAGGACAAGUUGUGAUGAGGAGCGAAAUUUAGUAGCGAAGUGAGAGACGUCACACUGCCAAGAAAAGCUUCUAGUUAGAGUUUAAUCACCCGUACCGCAAACCGACACAGGUAGUCGAGGCGAGUAGCCUAAGGUGAGCGAGAGAACUCUCGUUAAGGAACUCGGCAAAAUGACCCCGUAACUUCGGGAGAAGGGGUGCUGAUGGUAAAAGAUCAGCCGCAGUGAAUAGGCCCAAACAACUGUUUAUCAAAAACACAGGUAUCUGCAAAAUCGUAAGAUGACGUAUAGGUGCUGACACCUGCCCGGUGCUGGAAGGUUAAGAGGAGAGCUUAGCGCAAGCGAAGGUUUGAAUUGAAGCCCCAGUAAACGGCGGCCGUAACUAUAACGGUCCUAAGGUAGCGAAAUUCCUUGUCGGGUAAGUUCCGACCUGCACGAAAGGCGCAACGACUUGGGCGCUGUCUCGACCAUGGACCCGGUGAAAUUGCACUGGUCGUGAAGAUGCGACUUACCCGCGGAAGGACGGAAAGACCCCGUGAACCUUCACUGCAGCUUGGCAUUGGCCGCUGGUCCCGCGUGUAGAGGAUAGGCAGGAGGCAUCGAUCCGGAGGCGCCAGCCCCCGGGGAGCCGCCCUUGGAAUACUGCCCUCGCGCGACCGGCGUCCUAACCCGAGGCCGUCAACCGGCUCGGGGACCGUGCCAGGCGGGCAGUUUGACUGGGGCGGUCGCCUCCUAAAGGGUAACGGAGGCGCGCGAAGGUCCGCUCGGGACGGUCGGCAACCGUCCUUUUGAAUGCAAGAGUACAAGCGGGCUUGACUGCGAGGCCCACAAGCCGAGCAGGUGCGAAAGCAGGCUCUAGUGAUCCGGCGGCCCCGAGUGGGUGGGCCGUCGCUCAACGGAUAAAAGGUACUCCGGGGAUAACAGGCUGAUCUUGCCCAAGAGUCCACAUCGACGGCAAGGUUUGGCACCUCGAUGUCGGCUCAUCGCAUCCUGGGGCUGGAGCAGGUCCCAAGGGUACGGCUGUUCGCCGUUUAAAGCGGUACGCGAGCUGGGUUCAGAACGUCGUGAGACAGUUCGGUCCCUAUCCUCCGUGGGCGCAGGAGAAUCGAUGGAGGCUGCCCCCAGUACGAGAGGACCGGGGUGGACGCACCUCCGGUGAACCGGUUGUCGACCAACGGCACGGCCGGGUAGCCGCGUGCGGCGCGGAUAACCGCUGAAGGCAUCUAAGCGGGAAGCCGUUCCAGGGAUUAGUUCUCCUUCCGGUAAGGGCCCAGGUAGACUACCUGGUCGAUAGACGGCAGGUGCAAGGGCGGCGACGUCCUCAGCCGAGCCGCACUAAUCGCCCGAGCUCUUCCGGA
RNAcentral lists this ribosomal RNA (2880 nucleotides) under human gut metagenome. RNAcentral describes it as "bacterial LSU rRNA". It matches the Rfam family "Bacterial large subunit ribosomal RNA". The record is from RNAcentral.